GAUGAACGCUGGCGGCGUGCUUAACACAUGCAAGUCGAACGGUGAAAGAGGAGCUUGCUCCUCUGGAUCAGUGGCGAACGGGUGAGUAACAUGUGAGUAACCUGCCCCAGACUCUGGGAUAAGCACUGGAAACGGUGUCUAAUACCGGAUACGAGCUUCAGCCGCAUGGCUAGGAGCUGGAAAGAUUUCGGUCUGGGAUG
This 200-nucleotide ribosomal RNA is filed under the name uncultured bacterium. RNAcentral's name for it is "partial 16S ribosomal RNA". It matches the Rfam family "Bacterial small subunit ribosomal RNA", at positions 28 to 227 of the family's 1533-position model. The record is from RNAcentral.